This 461-nucleotide long non-coding RNA is filed under the name Phoenix dactylifera (date palm). Its description in RNAcentral is "long non-coding RNA (PDAC_LNC000945)". The record is from RNAcentral. Lineage: Eukaryota; Viridiplantae; Streptophyta; Magnoliopsida; Arecales; Arecaceae.
UCAUCCUUUUCAAAUUCUACAAGAUGGGGUCAUAGACAUAACUUCUUCAUGCCAAUCUUCUAUAAGAGUUUUCUUGUGGACUAACUUUGGUCAAUGAAGAUCCCCUUUCUUGUUUGUCGUAAUUUGGAGUUUGAGAGAAGAUGUUAAUUCAUUCAUCAUACAUAUUUCAAAGUCACCUUACAUGAGCUAAGUAAAAUCUUCAUAUAACUCUUCAUUAGUAGAACCAAAAAUGAUGUCAUCAAUGCAUACUUUGAGCAAAUAAGAUAUCACAAAUUCUUCUUUUUGAUGUAUAGAUUUAUCACUAUUACUUUCUAUCAAAAAGGUUACUUAAGCUUUUAUAUCAUGCUUUUGAUGCUUGUUCCAAAUUAUAUAUUGCUUUAACAUAUUUGUAAUGAGUGUUUUCAAAUAUGGUGGUUAUUUAACAUAGAUCUCCUUUUUAAUGAAAUAAACACAUAGGAGUN